GGGCCGUUAGCUCAGUUGGCUAGAGCGCCUGCUUUGCACGCAGGAGGUCAAGGGUUCGACUCCCUUACGGUCCACCA
The sequence is a transfer RNA, 77 nucleotides long. It matches the Rfam family "tRNA". Rfam says of the family: Transfer RNA (tRNA) molecules are approximately 80 nucleotides in length. Their secondary structure includes four short double-helical elements and three loops (D, anti-codon, and T loops). Further hydrogen bonds mediate the characteristic L-shaped molecular structure. tRNAs have two regions of fundamental functional importance: the anti-codon, which is responsible for specific mRNA codon recognition, and the 3' end, to which the tRNAs corresponding amino acid is attached (by aminoacyl-tRNA synthetases). tRNAs cope with the degeneracy of the genetic code in two manners: having more than one tRNA (with a specific anti-codon) for a particular amino acid; and 'wobble' base-pairing, i.e. permitting non-standard base-pairing at the 3rd anti-codon position.